GGAAAAGCUGCUGCUGUUGGAUUUAAAGGAGAAUCGGUGUAGGAUAUCCUUCAAGAGAAUGGGCAGAAAGGCCUUGAAGACUUUCUCACUCUUGUGUAUGAGUCCUUGAUCAGUUCCCCUGCCCACAGACACACACACGCACAAACAAAUCCUCCGUAUGGAACCCAGUGCAGGAUCCAAAAAGACAGUAUGGGGUAACCUGCGCCAGAAAGCCAAGCCGUUGAUCCACUACGUCCGCGGCAACAGCCAAAGACACAUCAGGUCACAGGUUAGACCAGAGCGAGCGUUGGACCAUAGGACCAGCUCUUCAGUGCCUUCUUCCCCUUCCCAACCAGCCCGGCUUCCCGCUGCCAGCAGUCCCUCCACACCUGUCAGUCAGCCUGUGUUAGAGACAAGGGGCGGGGCCCAGUGUUCUGAGUCGCCAGCUGGGCCUACGAACUUAUCUGAUUGGAUACCACAGGACUUGGUGGAUGGCGGUGUUGAUGAGGAGCAGGACUUCUUGGACGCUGUAGAUGAGAUGGAGCUUCUCCCAGAGAACUCAACAGAGCAGAGGAAACGGGUUGAGAACCACCAUGACACUGAUGAUUCUUUCCAUGGCCCUGAG
This is a long non-coding RNA of Ictalurus punctatus (channel catfish), 604 nucleotides long. NCBI's taxonomy places the organism in Eukaryota, Metazoa, Chordata, Actinopteri, Siluriformes, Ictaluridae. The record is from Ensembl.